GCGACGGCUAAAUACGUGCCAGCAGCCGCGGUAAUACGUAUGUCGCAAGCGUUAUCCGGAUUUAUUGGGCGUAAAGCGCGUCUAGGCGGUCUGGUAAGUCUGAUGUGGAAAUGCGGGGCUCAACUCCGUAUUGCGUUGGAAACUGCCAGACUAGAGUAUUGGAGAGGUGGGCGGAACUACAAGUGUAGAGGUGAAAUUCGUAGAUAUUUGUAGGAAUGCCGAUAGAGAAGUCAGCUCACUGGACAGAUACUGACGCUGAAGCGCGAAAGCAUGGGGAGCAAACAGGAUUAGAUACCCUGGUAGUCCAUGCCGUAAACGAUGAUUACUAAGCGUCGGGGGUCGAACCUCGGCACUCAAGCUAACGCGAUAAGUAAUCCGCCUGGGGAGUACGUACGCA
RNAcentral lists this ribosomal RNA (397 nucleotides) under uncultured bacterium. RNAcentral describes it as "bacterial SSU rRNA". It matches the Rfam family "Bacterial small subunit ribosomal RNA", at positions 490 to 890 of the family's 1533-position model. The record is from RNAcentral.